GACGAACGCUGGCGGCGUGCCUAAUACAUGCAAGUAGAACGCUGAAGGAGGAGCUUGCUCUUCUGGAUGAGUUGCGAACGGGUGAGUAACGCGUAGGUAACCUGCCUGGUAGCGGGGGAUAACUAUUGGAAACGAUAGCUAAUACCGCAUAAGAGUAGAUGUUGCAUGACAUUUGCUUAAAAGGUGCAAUUGCAUCACUACCAGAUGGACCUGCGUUGUAUUAGCUAGUUGGUGGGGUAACGGCUCACCAAGGCGACGAUACAUAGCCGACCUGAGAGGGGGGUCGGCCACACUGGGACUGAGACACGGCCCAGACUCCUACGGGAGGCAGCAGUAGGGAAUCUUCGGCAAUGGACGGAAGUCUGACCGAGCAACGCCGCGUGAGUGAAGAAGGUUUUCGGAUCGUAAAGCUCUGUUGUAAGAGAAGAACGAGUGUGAGAGUGGAAAGUUCACACUGUGACGGUAUCUUACCAGAAAGGGACGGCUAACUACGUG
Molecule: ribosomal RNA, 495 nt
Filed under: uncultured bacterium
Lineage: Bacteria
Description: partial 16S ribosomal RNA
Rfam family: Bacterial small subunit ribosomal RNA
Source: RNAcentral